This 516-nucleotide ribosomal RNA is filed under the name uncultured bacterium. RNAcentral describes it as "bacterial SSU rRNA". It matches the Rfam family "Bacterial small subunit ribosomal RNA", at positions 29 to 518 of the family's 1533-position model. The record is from RNAcentral.
ACGAACGCUGGCGGCGUGCCUAAUACAUGCAAGUCGAACGGCUUUUCUAUGGAAGCUUGCUUCCACUGAGAAGAUAGUGGCGAACGGGUGAGUAACACGUGGGUAACCUGCCCAUAAGAGGGGGAUAACAUCCGGAAACGGGUGCUAAUACCGCAUAGUUUUCUUGAUCGCAUGAUUGAGAAAGGAAAGACGGCCUUUGUGCUGUCGCUUAUGGAUGGACCCGCGGCGUAUUAGUUAGUUGGUGAGGUAACGGCUCACCAAGACGAUGAUACGUAGCCGACCUGAGAGGGUGAUCGGCCACAUUGGGACUGAGACACGGCCCAAACUCCUACGGGAGGCAGCAGUAGGGAAUCUUCCGCAAUGGACGAAAGUCUGACGGAGCAACGCCGCGUGAGUGAAGAAAGGUUUUCGGAUCGUAAAACUCUGUUGUCAGAGAAGAACAAGUUGGAGAGUAACUGCUCCAGCCUUGACGGUAUCUGACCAGAAAGCCACGGCUAACUACGUGCCAGCCGCAGC